GAGCCUGUGUCUCCUCCCGCCAGCCAUUCCGUAAAGGGCUGUUUGAUUGGGUUUAUUGGUUUUUUCUUGAUUAGGACGCUGUGUGCACUGGCGCAGGAGCUGAGCUGAGGGCAGAAGCUCCACGGUGAAGAAACAGGAGGCUGCACACUCUACGGAAAGACCAGGGUGCAGCCAGUAACCGGGCCCACGUCACAGACGAAGACUCGGCUCCCGGGCCACACAGCGAAGCCGAGGCCGAGGGCUGCCUACCCUGGGCGUGCGCAGGCUCUGGUGCCG
Molecule: long non-coding RNA, 276 nt
Filed under: Fukomys damarensis (Damara mole-rat)
Lineage: Eukaryota; Metazoa; Chordata; Mammalia; Rodentia; Bathyergidae
Description: lncRNA (ENSFDAG00000031162.1)
Source: RNAcentral